CUACUCUUGACAUCCAGAGAAUUCGCUAGAGAUAGCUUAGUGCCUUCGGGAACUCUGAGACAGGUGCUGCAUGGCUGUCGUCAGCUCGUGUUGUGAAAUGUUGGGUUAAGUCCCGCAACGAGCGCAACCCUUAUCCUUGUUUGCCAGCACGUAAUGGUGGGAACUCCAGGGAGACUGCCGGUGAUAAACCGGAGGAAGGUGGGGACGACGUCAAGUCAUCAUGGCCCUUACGAGUAGGGCUACACACGUGCUACAAUGGCGUAUACAGAGGGCUGCAAGCUAGCGAUAGUGAGCGAAUCCCACAAAGUACGUCGUAGUCCGGAUUGGAGUCUGCAACUCGACUCCAUGAAGUCGGAAUCGCUAGUAAUCGUGAAUCAGAAUGUCACGGUGAAUACGUUCCCGG
RNAcentral lists this ribosomal RNA (403 nucleotides) under uncultured bacterium. RNAcentral's name for it is "bacterial SSU rRNA". It matches the Rfam family "Bacterial small subunit ribosomal RNA", at positions 975 to 1377 of the family's 1533-position model. The record is from RNAcentral.